CUCUCUCCUCCCAGCCAGGGCUUAGCGACAACACAGCUACAGGGGCAUGAGAGGCUCAGAGGCCUGGUCCUCUGGCUGGUGGAGCCUUGGAGGCAGUAGUGAAGAUCCCUGGAAGAGGGAGGCCAUGAAGAGGGAUGCAGAUACCUGGCAAGCCCACCUCCCUUCUAUGCCACCUGCCAGCCUUCUCUGACAUUCCCAAACCAGGGACCAACACCGCCAAUCAGGGAAGAUUUACACGCAUUUAAUUAUCCUGCACUGCUCAGAUGUCAGUCUCUAAAUUCCUAACACAAAUGAACAGAAGACAAAAUCAUUUGCAGGAUUCUGAAAUGAAGUUUUUCAGCGGAACACAGAGAAACAGUUAAAUUUUGCAAAGCUGUGAAACUGGAGAGGGGGCUGUCCUCCAAAUCUACCAACCAGAGACCUGGAAGGAAUUACUUGCAUGAGAUUCAUUUCUCUCUGUCUUUCUCUUUCUCCCCUCUCCCCACCUAUCUGCACCAAACUCACCUGCCAAUUUCAUCAGCGAUACUUGAAUGGAUUUUCUAACCUGUUCCACUCCAAAUUGAUCAGUUAAUUAAGUUGAUCUCUACAAGACUGUUAAAGAACCAGGUCUUUUUCCUUUCAUGUUAUGCAGUUCCAAGUAAACUCCCUUUACUCUGGUAUCCUUAUCAGAGGCAGACAUCACAGGAAGUGGAGCAUUCCUUAUGAAUAUCUUAAUCUACACACAAAUAGAUUUUUUUCAAUGUGAAUUUGGAUUUCUAAAAGCACGCUUACUGCAAGUACAUUUUGCAGCCUCUUGUUUCCAGAUCAGAAUUGAGUGAUUUUCUAUUAUUUAUUUAUUUAUUAUUUGUCACUUUAAAAUAUGCAAUUCUUGGGAUCAUGCAGAAUUGCUGUAUAUUUGCUUUGAAGAUUAGAAUAAAACUGGUAGAUAAUG
This 931-nucleotide long non-coding RNA is filed under the name Homo sapiens (human). Its description in RNAcentral is "uncharacterized LOC105377490 (LOC105377490)". Lineage: Eukaryota; Metazoa; Chordata; Mammalia; Primates; Hominidae. The record is from RNAcentral.